AGCUGGCCACAACGUUCUCCUUCUCCAGGGAGGCUUGUGAAAAGGCUCUAGAAAAAUCUCAGAAGAUAUAUUUCUUUUCGUGGAUUGGAGUCCCAAGGUGCUUCUGAGCUCUUCAAUUUGUUAAUGGAAAGAAACACCAUUUACACUGGAUGGCUACAAAGCAACUUUAUUCUGGCUCACUCACAAGGACGUACACGCAAUGGAGAAGAUGAGCAUCAACAUACAGAUGAUACCACCUCCCCCAGAAGACUUGGAAUUUUCUCUAUACAAGGAGACCCCCAGCUGGAGGACCAGAGAUUGAUCUGAGGCCCAGAUUCCCA
Long non-coding RNA from Lemur catta (Ring-tailed lemur), 320 nucleotides. RefSeq lists it as uncharacterized. The transcript has 4 exons. The record is from RefSeq and is a predicted model, not a curated record. Lineage: Eukaryota; Metazoa; Chordata; Mammalia; Primates; Lemuridae.